CUCAGGAGACUGCCGUGGAUAACACGGAGGAAGGUGGGACGACGUCAAGUCAUCAUGGCCUUUAUGUCCAGGGCUACACACGUGAUACAAUGGUGCAGACAGAAGGUUGCAAGACCGUAAGGUGGAGCCAAUCCCUAAACUGCACCCUAGUUCAGAUUGAGGGCUGCAAUUCGCCCUCAUGAAGCUGGAAUCGCUAGUAAUCACAGAUCAGCAGGCUGCGGUGAAUACGUUCCCGGGCCUU
This 241-nucleotide ribosomal RNA is filed under the name uncultured bacterium. Its description in RNAcentral is "partial 16S ribosomal RNA". It matches the Rfam family "Bacterial small subunit ribosomal RNA", at positions 1140 to 1382 of the family's 1533-position model. The record is from RNAcentral.